This 1474-nucleotide ribosomal RNA is filed under the name Rothia mucilaginosa. RNAcentral's name for it is "bacterial SSU rRNA". It matches the Rfam family "Bacterial small subunit ribosomal RNA". Lineage: Bacteria; Bacillati; Actinomycetota; Actinomycetes; Micrococcales; Micrococcaceae. The record is from RNAcentral.
GCGGUAGAGGGCCACAACACAUGCAGUCGUACGAUGGUAGCCUAGCUUGCUAGGGUGGAUUAGUGGCGAACGGGUGAGAAAUACGUGAGGACCUACCUUUAACUCUGGGAUAAGCCUGGGAAACUGGGUCUAAUACCGGAUACGACCAAUCUCCGCAUGGGUGUUGGUGGAAAGCGUUAUGUAGUGGUUAUAGAUGGGCUCACGGCCUAUCAGCUUGUUGGUGAGGUAACGGCUCACCAAGGCGACGACGGGUAGCCGGCCUGAGAGGGUGACCGGCCACACUGGGACUGAGACACGGCCCACACUCCUACGGGAGGCAGCAGUGGGGAAUAUUGCACAAUGGGCGCAAGCUUGUGGCAGCAACGCCCGAGGGGGGAGCACGCCCUUCGGGUUAAAACCCUCUCUUACGCAGGGAAGAAGAAAGAUUAACGCGCACCUGCCAGAGAAACCGCCGCCAAACUACGUGCCAGCAGCCGCGGUAAUACCUAGGGCGCGAGCGCUUGCCGGGAAUUUAUUGGCGUUAAAGAGCUUGAAGCCGUCUUUUGUCGCUUUCUCCUGGUGCGAAACGCCCGGAGCUUAACUCCGGGGUAUUAGCAGUGCGCACGGGCCACCCAGAGAGCCGUAGGAAUGAAAGACUGAAAUUCCCUGCGGUAACGGGUGGAAAUCGCCACCAUAUCAAGGAGGGACACACGAUUGGCGAAGUGGAGCUCUCUUGGGCUGUAACUGCCCUGAGGAUACCGAAAACAUGCGGAGCGAAACAGAAUUAAAAACCCCGAAACUCCAUGCCGUAAACGUUGGGCCCCAGGAUUGAGGGGCAUUUCCCCUGUUUCCCCCCCGGAAGCUAACGCCUUUAAGCGCCCCGCCUGGCGAGCACGGGCCCCAAGGCCUAAAACCAAAAGAAAAUUGACGGCGGGCCACACCAAACGGCAGAGGCAUGCGCGUAUAAUUCGAUGCAAACGCGAAGAACCCUUGACCAAGGCCUGGCACAUAUUCUGGUACCGCCUCAGAGAUUGCGUUUCUCCUGCGGCGCUGAUAUACAGGUGGUGCAUGAUCGUCGUCAGCUCGUGUCGUGAGAUGUUGGGUUAAGUCCCGCAACGAGCGCAACCCUCGUUCUAUGUUGCCAGCACGUUAUGGUGGGGACUCAUAGGAGCCUGCCGGGGCCAACUCGGAGGAAGGUGGGGAUGACGUCAAAUCCAUCAUGCCCCUUAUGUCUUGGGCUUCACGCAUGCUACAAUGGCCGGUACAGAGGGUUGCGAUACUGUGAGGUUGAGCUAAUCCCUAAAAACCGGUCUCAGUUCGGAUUGGCGUCUGCAACUCGCCCCAUGAAGUCGGAGUCGCUAGUAAUCGCAGAUCACAACGCUGCGGUGAAUACGUUCCCGGGCCUUGUACACCCGCCCGUCAAGUCACGAAAGUUGGUAACACCCCAAAGCCGUAGAGUUACCUCUUCGAGGAGCCGUCUUAUAGAGCCCCCUGG